This 61-nucleotide microRNA precursor is filed under the name Pristionchus pacificus. RNAcentral describes it as "mir-8364 microRNA precursor family". It matches the Rfam family "mir-8364 microRNA precursor family". The record is from Rfam by way of RNAcentral. Lineage: Eukaryota; Metazoa; Nematoda; Chromadorea; Rhabditida; Neodiplogasteridae.
UCUUCAUUUCGCACAAUCUCUCACCGAUCAGAGAGGUGAGAGAGUGUGCAAAGUGAGGAGA